UUCACCUUUGUGUUGAAAGUACCAUUUGUGUUUCUCUCUUUUUUCUCCCUCAUUUAGGCAUUGUUUUUCUUAUACAUUUAAGUGACAGUGGAUGAUUAACAACACUUUUGAUAGUAUCUGGUAACUGUAGAUAUAAUAAGAGGAUACCUACAUAAAACAUUAUCUACAACAGUGGUGUUCAUAGUCGAAAGUGAUAAAGGUGUUGGAUGACAGUGUGAUUUGCACACAAGCGUGAAAACAACUUGGAUCUUGGGUUGUUGCUGUUGCACUAAAGUGUGAAACAACCUAGGCACAAUUUGACAACAUGGCCACCAGAUCCAGAAGGUAUCCCAAAUGCCUAAAAGUUGCUAAGGAUGGGAUAAAGAGAAAUCUCAUGGCAUCCA
Long non-coding RNA from Quercus lobata, 383 nucleotides. RefSeq lists it as uncharacterized. The record is from RefSeq and is a predicted model, not a curated record. NCBI's taxonomy places the organism in Eukaryota, Viridiplantae, Streptophyta, Magnoliopsida, Fagales, Fagaceae. The transcript is spliced from 4 exons.